UACGAAGGGGCUAGCGUUGCUCGGAAUGACUGGGCGUAAAGGGCGCGUAGGCGGAUGGCACAGUCAGAUGUGAAAUUCCCGGGCUUAACCUGGGGCUGCAUUUGAUACGUGUUGUCUUGAGUUCGGAAGAGGGUCGUGGAAUUCCCAGUGUAGAGGUGAAAUUCGUAGAUAUUGGGAAGAACACCGGUGGCGAAGGCGGCGACCUGGUCCGACACUGACGCUGAGGCGCGAAAGCGUGGGAGCAAACAGG
Molecule: ribosomal RNA, 250 nt
Filed under: uncultured bacterium
Lineage: Bacteria
Description: partial 16S ribosomal RNA
Rfam family: Bacterial small subunit ribosomal RNA
Source: RNAcentral